UCCGUUGUGGUCUAGUGGUUAGGAUUUUCGGCUCUCACCCGUAAGGCUCGGGUUCGUUUUUCGGCAGCGGAA
This 72-nucleotide transfer RNA is filed under the name Angiostrongylus costaricensis. It matches the Rfam family "tRNA". Rfam says of the family: Transfer RNA (tRNA) molecules are approximately 80 nucleotides in length. Their secondary structure includes four short double-helical elements and three loops (D, anti-codon, and T loops). Further hydrogen bonds mediate the characteristic L-shaped molecular structure. tRNAs have two regions of fundamental functional importance: the anti-codon, which is responsible for specific mRNA codon recognition, and the 3' end, to which the tRNAs corresponding amino acid is attached (by aminoacyl-tRNA synthetases). tRNAs cope with the degeneracy of the genetic code in two manners: having more than one tRNA (with a specific anti-codon) for a particular amino acid; and 'wobble' base-pairing, i.e. permitting non-standard base-pairing at the 3rd anti-codon position. The record is from Rfam by way of RNAcentral. Lineage: Eukaryota; Metazoa; Nematoda; Chromadorea; Rhabditida; Metastrongylidae.